GGAGGCCACUGCUAUGGGGGUCCGACUAAGCCAUGCGAGUCAAGGGGGCGUCCCUUCUGGGACGCCACCGGCGGACGGCUCAGUAACACGUCGGUAACCUACCCUCGGGAGGGGGAUAACCCCGGGAAACUGGGGCUAAUCCCCCAUAGGCCUGGGGUACUGGAAGGUCCCCAGGCCGAAAGGGGACCGUAAGGUCCCGCCCGAGGAUGGGCCGGCGGCCGAUUAGGUAGUUGGUGGGGUAACGGCCCACCAAGCCGAAGAUCGGUACGGGCCGUGAGAGCGGGAGCCCGGAGAUGGACACUGAGACACGGGUCCAGGCCCUACGGGGCGCAGCAGGCGCGAAACCUCCGCAAUGCGGGAAACCGCGACGGGGGGACCCCCAGUGCCGUGCCUCUGGCACGGCUUUUCCGGAGUGUAAAAAGCUCCGGGAAUAAGGGCUGGGCAAGGCCGGUGGCAGCCGCCGCGGUAAUACCGGCGGCCCGAGUGGUGGCCACUAUUAUUGGGCCUAAAGCGGCCGUAGCCGGGCCCGUAAGUCCCUGGCGAAAUCCCACGGCUCAACCGUGGGGCUCGCUGGGGAUACUGCGGGCCUUGGGACCGGGAGAGGCCGGGGGUACCCCCGGGGUAGGGGUGAAAUCCUAUAAUCCCGGGGGGACCGCCAGUGGCGAAGGCGCCCGGCUGGAACGGGUCCGACGGUGAGGGCCGAAGGCCAGGGGAGCGAACCGGAUUAGAUACCCGGGUAGUCCUGGCUGUAAAGGAUGCGGGCUAGGUGUCGGGCGAGCUUCGAGCUCGCCCGGUGCCGUAGGGAAGCCGUUAAGCCCGCCGCCUGGGGAGUACGGCCGCAAGGCUGAAACUUAAAGGAAUUGGCGGGGGAGCACUACAAGGGGUGGAGCGUGCGGUUUAAUUGGAUUCAACGCCGGGAACCUCACCGGGGGCGACGGCAGGAUGAAGGCCAGGCUGAAGGUCUUGCCGGACGCGCCGAGAGGAGGUGCAUGGCCGCCGUCAGCUCGUACCGUGAGGCGUCCACUUAAGUGUGGUAACGAGCGAGACCCGCGCCCCCAGUUGCCAGUCCCUCCCGCUCGGGAGGGAGGCACUCUGGGGGGACUGCCGGCGAUAAGCCGGAGGAAGGGGCGGGCGACGGUAGGUCAGUAUGCCCCGAAACCCCCGGGCUACACGCGCGCUACAAUGGGCGGGACAAUGGGACCCGACCCCGAAAGGGGAAGGGAAUCCCCUAAACCCGCCCUCAGUUCGGAUCGCGGGCUGCAACUCGCCCGCGUGAAGCUGGAAUCCCUAGUACCCGCGCGUCAUCAUCGCGCGGCGAAUACGUCCCUGCUCCUUGCACACACCGCCCGUCACUCCACCCGAGCGGGGCCCGGGUGAGGCCCGAUCUCCUUCGGGAGGUCGGGUCGAGCCCGGGCUCCGUGAGGGGGGAG
This 1430-nucleotide ribosomal RNA is filed under the name Pyrococcus sp. GIL. RNAcentral describes it as "SSU rRNA". It matches the Rfam family "Archaeal small subunit ribosomal RNA". The record is from RNAcentral. Lineage: Archaea; Methanobacteriati; Methanobacteriota; Thermococci; Thermococcales; Thermococcaceae.